UGCGGUUAAAAAGCUCGUAGUUGGAUCUCGGCAAGUAGAGGGCGGUAUGCUUCGUAGCAUUACUGCCCUAUUACUUGUAGUUUUGCCAGAGGUUCCUGGGUGCUCUUAAUCGAGUGUCUAGGGAUGCUGGCAGGUUUACUUUGAAAAAAUUAGAGUGCUCAAAGCAGGCUAUUACGCUUGAAUAUUCGUGCAUGGAAUAAUAGAAUAGGAAGUUGUUUCUAUUUUGUUGGUUUUCGGAAAUCGACUUAAUGAUUAAUAGGGACAGUCGGGGGCAUUUGUAUUCAAACGACAGAGGUGAAACUCUUGGACCGUUUGAAGACAAACUACUGCGAAAGCAUUUGCCGAGAAUGUUUUCAUUAAUCAAGAACGAAAGUUAGAGGUUCGAAGGCGAUUAGAUACCGCCCUAGUUCUAACCAUAAACGAUGCCAGCUAGCGAUCUGAGGACGUUUUUUUUGUAGACUCCUCAGGAAGCUUCCGGGAAACCAAAGCGUGUGGGUUCCGGGGGAAGUAUGGUUGCAAAGCUGAAACUUAAAGGAAUUGACGGAAGGGCACCACCAGGAGUGGAGCCUGCGGCUUAAUUUGACUCAACACGGGAAAUCUCACCAGGCCCGGACACUGGAAGGAUUGACAGAUUGAGAGCUCUUUCUCGAU
Molecule: ribosomal RNA, 651 nt
Filed under: uncultured marine eukaryote
Lineage: Eukaryota
Description: SSU rRNA
Rfam family: Eukaryotic small subunit ribosomal RNA
Source: RNAcentral